This 69-nucleotide transfer RNA is filed under the name Lactimicrobium massiliense. It matches the Rfam family "tRNA". Rfam says of the family: Transfer RNA (tRNA) molecules are approximately 80 nucleotides in length. Their secondary structure includes four short double-helical elements and three loops (D, anti-codon, and T loops). Lineage: Bacteria; Bacillati; Bacillota; Erysipelotrichia; Erysipelotrichales; Erysipelotrichaceae. The record is from RNAcentral. RNAcentral also lists the same sequence under 1 other name.
CGACUUAGCUCAGUUGGUAGAGCAACUCAUUCGUAAUGAGUAGGUCGUUGGUUCGAUUCCGAUAGUCGG